CUUUUACUUGAGGACAUGGUAAAAUCAAACUAAUCAAAAGGUGAAAAAUCCAAAUAAGACGAAUCUUCAACUGUACUAAAAUAAAACCAAAAUCAUUUGAAAGGGAGAGAGGGAGAAGUGAAACUACAUAGAGAAAUAGAAUACUACGUCUGGCUCCAUGUGACUGAUCCAAUGUUGUGUGCUUUGCAUUAAAAGUCUUUUCCUUAUUUCGUAUACUUCACAAUAACUUUUCAUACACACUCAGAAGUGUGUAUUUUCAUCCCAAUAAAUGCAUUUCUUUUCCUGAAAUCUAGAUCCAACCAAGGCUUUAAAUUCUUGGAAAAGCCUCAUAAGAGAUCUCCAAAGAAAAACAAACAUAGAUUUCAGUACAUAUUCAACAUAUGGCUCCACUCCAAGAUUUCAGUCUGAAAAAGGUAUUGUUUUUGCUUCUUCUCUUGGUUUUCUUCACUUCAAAAUUCAGCUCCGCAAACUGACAAAAAAGUUUUGGCAGAAGAAGAUCAAUGUUACAGAGUAGAAGAAGGUGAGCCAGUUAUUAAGAAGAAAACUACUUGUACCAAACUAUCUUCCUCAAAAAAAUACAGCCAAGGUUAUUAAAUCCAAAGCAGGUUAAUCCAAGAACCAAACAAAGCUUACUAAACUUCCUCUUGAUUCUGCCAAGAACAAAAUCAAGCCUAUGAAAUCCACCUCUGAUUCCAUUAAAGAUUCUACAACCACUAUCAAAUCCUAGCUCAAGAAACUAGCAAGUUAGAAUCUCAACAUUAUAUGGCUUUACAUUAAUUUGACAUGGCUAUGUAGGAAUCUACCAAGUUAGGUACACAAGGAUAUCAACCAUACGCCUAAAAUAGGGAAGAAACAUCUGCAAAAUCAAUAAGUUCAAUAAUAACAAGUACACAAAAGUAAAAUCUCAUCCUAAUGUAGGAAGAAAAAAGAGAUUAAGUACCUCAAGUUAGGAGCUUCAUAUCCUGCAUAGAUCAAACCAAAUGUUAAAAAAUAAGAAUGUAAAAAUAAUAGUAAUUAUUUAUUUCUAUAAACAAGGAUAGAUUAGUGUACAGCACGUUGAUAUGAUAUACGUGGGAUGCAAAUACAUCCACUUCCACCUCUUACAACAACCCUAUAUCCCCUUUUAGUUUUUGAAAAUUAGCCAAAAGACUAUGACAACUAUAUUCUAAUCAAGUACAGCUUCCUUUGUGACCAAGAUCCAUCUUUUCAACAUACAUAAUCAAACUUUUCAGGAGUAUAUUUAGCUCUCGAAUAGAAGGGAGGUUUCUUUAAUUUGAAUGAUAAAAAGAGAGAAUUGUUUUUGCUGUCAUAAUAAAUAAAAUAUAGAAAGGAACUUGCUUCACGUAAUGUUGAUCAUCAUCUUUGCUUCAGUUCUCAAAUACAUGGAUCACCUUCUAUCGGUUUAUUUAGUAAAGGAAGAUAAAUAAAUGGAAAAAAAAAAGUGUGAAAUGACUUUAAACAAGAAAAACCUUUUUACUAGAGGCAUGACAAUAUUCAAGUCGCAUAUACAAGAUGAGUAGCUUGAAAGCAACUAGCUUGGCAUCUACAA
Molecule: long non-coding RNA, 1549 nt
Filed under: Olea europaea subsp. europaea
Lineage: Eukaryota; Viridiplantae; Streptophyta; Magnoliopsida; Lamiales; Oleaceae
Source: RNAcentral